GCCGGGCACAGUGGUGCACGCCUGUAAUCCCAGCGGCUCAGGAGGCUGAGGCAGGUGGAUCGUGAGUUCUAAGCCAGUCUUGGCAACCAUGAGGCACUAGGCAACUCAGGGAGACCCUGUCUCUA
RNAcentral lists this small RNA (125 nucleotides) under Marmota monax (woodchuck). Lineage: Eukaryota; Metazoa; Chordata; Mammalia; Rodentia; Sciuridae. The record is from RNAcentral.